GNAUCNCGNANUUCAUGGAUACCGUGGUAAUUCUAGAGCUAAUACAUGCUGCACAGACCCGACUUCCGAGGGAGGGUUGUAUUUAUUAGAUAUCAAGCCAAUAGUCCCCUAAUCAGGGACUGUUGUGGUGAAUCACAGUAACUGAUCGAAUCCCGGGUCAGCCGGGAUAAAUCAUUCAAGUUUCUGCCCUAUCAGCUUUCGAUGGUAGUGUAUUGGACUACCAUGGCAGUCACGGGUAACGGAGAAUUAGGGUUCGGUUCCGGAGAAGGGAGCCUGAGAAACGGCUACCACAUCUACGNAAGGCAGCAGGCGCGUAAAUUACCCAAAUCCUGACUCAGGGAGGUAGUGACAAGAAAUAACAACCUGGGGGCCGUCACG
This 378-nucleotide ribosomal RNA is filed under the name uncultured eukaryote. Its description in RNAcentral is "bacterial SSU rRNA". It matches the Rfam family "Eukaryotic small subunit ribosomal RNA", at positions 125 to 498 of the family's 1831-position model. The record is from RNAcentral.